CAUGUCUGAAUAUGCAGUUGGCUAUGUGUGACUGUGGGUAUAUAUAUAUAUAUAUAUACACACACACACAUACACACACACACACACACACACAC
Molecule: microRNA precursor, 95 nt
Filed under: Pelodiscus sinensis (Chinese soft-shelled turtle)
Lineage: Eukaryota; Metazoa; Chordata; Testudines; Trionychidae
Description: miRNA (ENSPSIG00000020276.1)
Source: RNAcentral